RNAcentral lists this long non-coding RNA (2006 nucleotides) under Monodelphis domestica (gray short-tailed opossum). RNAcentral's name for it is "lncRNA (ENSMODG00000047027.1)". The record is from RNAcentral. Lineage: Eukaryota; Metazoa; Chordata; Mammalia; Didelphimorphia; Didelphidae.
CGAGCACCUGGAGUUUAGAAGGAAAUAAAAAUUUCGGAGGCUUUAUUUUGAUGAAAGUCGAUUCAGUAGCAACCCCGGGGCCAUCCUUAGGAUUCCGCCUGGAGGAACACACUUACCUUUCCCCGGUGCGGCUCACUCUUCUAGAAACCUUUACUUGGGGGGGUAGAGGCUUUCCUUCUAUGGGUUUUCAGAAGCCAAAGGAACUCCCUCCACCAAUUCAAAUCCACAUAUAGUUUUGGAGAAGUGCCUGGGACACGGUGAGGUUAAGUGAUUUACCCUGAACUACGGACAGGUAUUUGCCAGCGGAGUAACUAACCCGAACUCUUCCUUAUUUGGAGGUCGGCUCUCUACCCGCUAUGGCCCGGGUAUCUCUGAAAUCCAGUAUAAAAUCCAAAUUGUCGAUGCCCACUGAAGUGGGCAGAACCAGAAGGACAAUGCAUACGGUUACAGGAAUAUUAUACCAUGAUCAACUGCGGAGGACUAAAUCCUUAUCAGCAAAGCAAGCCUCCAAGAUAAUCACCUGGGACUCGUGAUAAAAAGGUUAGCCAAGCCAGAGAAGGAAGGGUUGGAGUCUGAGUGCAGAUCAAAGCUUGCCACCUUCCACUAUAUUUCCUUCAGGAGAUUUCUAUUCUGUGUGUGAUGUGGCUUCUAUCAUGGCAUGUGAGCAGCAUGGAAAUAAGUAUGGCAUGAAAAUAUGGGCAUAACCGAGAUUAGACUAUUCACGGCGGCACGAUGGGGGAGAGGGCAAGGAGCGAGGCAGUCUGGAUUUUAAGAGGUCAAAAACCAAUUGUCGAGGUACUUAAGAAAAAGAAUGCUCUCCACGGCUAGAGAAAGAACUGUAGGAGUAAAAAUCCAGAAGAAAACAUGGUCCAUCACUUGUUUCUAUGGGCAACUUGGGUUUCCUGCCAGUUCCAUGCCCACCACUGGAGUUGAAGUCAACAGCAGCUGGGAAUGCAUAACUGAGGGCAGAAGUCAGCCCAGUAUGAGGUUAAUUGGACCAAAUUAAAGCUAUAGGAAUUCAACCAAUUCUGUCAGAGCUCUCCAGUGGACAGCCUUUAAGAGGGUUUCCCCCAACAACUUAAAAGUAUUUGAAAGAGACAUUGCCUUUGGGAAUGUAAAUAAUAUUUAGAAUAAUCAGUGGCACACCACUAUCCCUACUGUGUUUUGAAAAGCUAUAUAAAUGCCACCUAAUUUUUUUUUUCCAAAAUAGCAGCUGAAUAGGGCACUGUUCACAGAGGAGAUGUCACACCAUACCUCCUGCCUCAUGCCCACUCCUUAAUCACUGGGAUCAACAUCCCAGGUAAUGCAGCCUACUUGGAAUGGAUCCAGGGAACCCAGGACACCUUUAAAUGAAAGGGAAUUUCCAUAAGGUCCUCUAUCUACAAGGGUAUUUCCCCCAAGAGUUUAGAAAAUUAUAAAGGCAAGGUAAGUGAGACAAAUGGCAUGCCUGAUUUGGAUAAAAUGUUUGAAAUAAUAAUAACAGCAUUUUUUCUAAUGACUACUAUGCACGGGGUGUUCAGGAAGGACUAGCACCUCAUCUGCCUUUAGUAUAUACCUUUCACCAACCCCCAAUUUAUGACUCCAAGAAGCAGUAGCAUUCAUAGUAAAACCAUCUUGGCAGAGAGGUUCGAUCAGGUUGAGGGUAACUGAUGGAUCUCAAACUCAUUCAUGAAUUAGGAAGACUACCCCAAGCAUGUGAAGACUUCCCUUGAUGAAAUGGAAAGAUGAGAACAAUUUGUUCCAAUGGCCAUGAAGGAGGUUGAAGCAGGCACUGUGGAGGGCUUAGAGCUUGAUCAGACAUGGAAGACACCGAGAUUAUUCACUGCAUUCCAGGCUAUCUUCAGUCAUCCUGACUUUUGUCUUGCUAUUAGACUUUGGUGACUUUGGAAGAGAGAAUGAGGCCAAUGACUUUGUGUCCCUCUGCCUCACUUAAAUCCAAUUCACUUGGAAGUCAAGACACCACCCUCUAAGGGCAUUGGUCCUUUUUGAAAUGAAGGAUGAACAAC